GAUCAUGGCUCAGAUUGAACGCUGGCGGCAGGCCUAACACAUGCAAGUCGAGCGGUAGAGAGAAGCUUGCUUCUCUUGAGAGCGGCGGACGGGUGAGUAAUGCCUAGGAAUCUGCCUGGUAGUGGGGGAUAACGUUCGGAAACGGACGCUAAUACCGCAUACGUCCUACGGGAGAAAGCAGGGGACCUUCGGGCCUUGCGCUAUCAGAUGAGCCUAGGUCGGAUUAGCUAGUUGGUGAGGUAAUGGCUCACCAAGGCGACGAUCCGUAACUGGUCUGAGAGGAUGAUCAGUCACACUGGAACUGAGACACGGUCCAGACUCCUACGGGAGGCAGCAGUGGGGAAUAUUGGACAAUGGGCGAAAGCCUGAUCCAGCCAUGCCGCGUGUGUGAAGUAGGUCUUCGGAUUGUAAAGCACUUUAAGUUGGGAGGAAGGGCAGUUACCUAAUACGUGAUUGUUUUGACGUUACCGACAGAAUAAGCACCGGCUAACUCUGUG
This 497-nucleotide ribosomal RNA is filed under the name uncultured bacterium. RNAcentral describes it as "bacterial SSU rRNA". It matches the Rfam family "Bacterial small subunit ribosomal RNA", at positions 15 to 507 of the family's 1533-position model. The record is from RNAcentral.